This 484-nucleotide ribosomal RNA is filed under the name uncultured bacterium. RNAcentral's name for it is "partial 16S ribosomal RNA". It matches the Rfam family "Bacterial small subunit ribosomal RNA", at positions 30 to 507 of the family's 1533-position model. The record is from RNAcentral.
AUUGAACGCUGGCGGCAGGCCUAACACAUGCAAGUCGAGCGGAUGAAGGGAGCUUGCUCCUGGAUUCAGCGGCGGACGGGUGAGUAAUGCCUAGGAAUCUGCCUGGUAGUGGGGGAUAACGUCCGGAAACGGGCGCUAAUACCGCAUACGUCCUGAGGUAGAAAGUGGGGGAUCUUCGGACCUCACGCUAUCAGAUGAGCCUAGGUCGGAUUAGCUAGUUGGUGGGGUAAAGGCCUACCAAGGCGACGAUCCGUAACUGGUCUGAGAGGAUGAUCAGUCACACUGGAACUGAGACACGGUCCAGACUCCUACGGGAGGCAGCAGUGGGGAAUAUUGGCACAUGGGCGCAAGCCUGAUCACGCCAUGCCGCGUGUGUGAAGAAGGUCUUCGGAUUGUAAAGCACUUUAAGUUGGGAGGAAGGGAAGUAAGUUAAUACCUUGCUGUUUUGACGUUACCAACAGAAUAAGCACCGGCUAACUUCGUG